GCCCUCGUAGCUCAAUGGAAGAGCGGUGGCCUUCGAAGCCAACGGCUGCAAGUUCGAGUCUUGCCGAGGGUG
RNAcentral lists this transfer RNA (72 nucleotides) under Chloroflexota bacterium. RNAcentral's name for it is "tRNA-Arg". It matches the Rfam family "tRNA". From Rfam's summary of the family: Transfer RNA (tRNA) molecules are approximately 80 nucleotides in length. RNAcentral also lists the same sequence under 1 other name. Lineage: Bacteria; Bacillati; Chloroflexota. The record is from RNAcentral.